UGUUCACCCACCAAUAGGG
Molecule: small nuclear RNA, 19 nt
Filed under: Arabidopsis thaliana (thale cress)
Lineage: Eukaryota; Viridiplantae; Streptophyta; Magnoliopsida; Brassicales; Brassicaceae
Description: snRNA_16745
Source: RNAcentral